Molecule: ribosomal RNA, 433 nt
Filed under: uncultured bacterium
Lineage: Bacteria
Description: partial 16S ribosomal RNA
Rfam family: Bacterial small subunit ribosomal RNA
Source: RNAcentral
AACGAACGCUGGCGGCAUGCCUAACACAUGCAAGUCGAACGAGACCUCCGGGUUUAGUGGCGCACGGGUGCGUAACGCGUGGGAACCUGCCCUUAGGUUCGGCAUAACUCCCCGAAAGGGGUGCUAAUACCGGGUAAUAUUUUCGGACCAAAGAUUUAUCGGCUUUGGUGGGGGCCGCGUUGGUUUAGCUUGUUGGUAGGGUAAAAGCCUACCAAGGCGACGAUCCAUAGCUGGUUUGUGAGGAUGAUCAGCCACACUGGGACUGGGACACGGCCCCGACUCCUACGGGAGGCAGCAGUGGGUAAUAUAGGACCAUGGGCGAGAGCCAGAUCCAGCGAUGCCGCGUGAGUGAUGAAGGCGUUAGGGUUGUAAAGCUCUUUUACCCGGGAUGAUAAUGACAGUACCGGGAUAAUAAGCUCCGGCUAACUCCGUG